CUACGGGGGGCUCCAGGCGCGAAACCUUUACAAUGCACGAAAGUGUGAUAAGGGAACCCUAAGUGCUUUGCUUUUGCAAGGCUUUUUUCAAGAGCAAAUAUCUUGAAGAAUAAGUGGUGGGCAAUACCUGUGCCAGCCGCCGCGGUAAUCCAGGAGCCACAAGUGGCAACCAUUUUUAUUGGGCCUAAAGCGUCCGUAGCAGGUUUAGUAAAUCUUCUGUGAAAUCAUUAGGCUUAACCUAACGACGUGCAGGAGAGACUGUUAAACUCGAGAUUGGUAGGAGUCAGAGGUAUUUUAGGGGGAGCGGUAAAAUGCUAUAAUCCCUAUAGGACCACCUGUGGCGAAGGCGUCUGACUAGAACAAAUCUGACUGUGAGGGACGAAAGCUAGGGGAGCAAUCCGGAUUAGAUACCCUCGUAGUC
This 421-nucleotide ribosomal RNA is filed under the name uncultured archaeon. Its description in RNAcentral is "partial 16S ribosomal RNA". It matches the Rfam family "Archaeal small subunit ribosomal RNA", at positions 323 to 746 of the family's 1478-position model. The record is from RNAcentral.